Molecule: RNA transcript, 2209 nt
Organism: Lathyrus oleraceus (garden pea)
Lineage: Eukaryota; Viridiplantae; Streptophyta; Magnoliopsida; Fabales; Fabaceae
Exons: 3
Source: RefSeq, a predicted model, not a curated record
UCAUCGCGUUCUUCGUGCACAUUGAAACGGAUUCAAAAAAGUGAUUCCUCCAAAAGCGCUUUCGCGACACGGCUUCACCAACUCAUCAUCAAAUUCCAAAGCGGACGUACGUUGUGGCUUACGGAGCCGGCGUCGUCUAAAACAACCAAAGUCGCAUCGCUCGCAUAUCGCACAUUGCUUCAAGACAGUUGGAUAAAAGCACUUACCAACUUUCGCUUUCCGGUGACGUCACCUUUGGAUCCACGCCUUGUCGAUUGAGAGGAAGGAUUUGCUUUCGGAUUCACGUGUCGCAGUUGGAAGAUGGAGAACCGAGGCUCGUGUUUGAUCGUCGUGUGGCGUUGUAGUUGCUGUUGACGGAUUGAGGUUGAGGAGAAGAGGUUCGUUUGGUGGUGGUUCGGCGAGGGAGAAGAAGAAUGGAAGGUUGAGAAAUUCGGUCGCGGAGGUUUGUUAUGGUUGAAAGAAGAAAUGGAAGAAACGAGGGAGAGAAAUUCGUUACUGCUGAAAGAAAAUGGAAGAAGGAGGAAUAAGAGAUUUGGGGAAGAGAUUCGAGAGCCCAAAAAUCACUGUUAAUCAAGAUACUUAUAGAAUUUUCUGAAUUCAGCUAUGGCUUCAUCGUUUUGGAUGUUUUGCCUUUGGCUCGUAGGCGUUUUGGCCGUGGUGGCGCGCGUUCAUGCUGUAGCAGCUGUUGUGGUUCAUCCUGCAGUUUAUACAGCUUGUGUCAUUUUGAAGUGUGCACGGAAUGCUACUUGUAUUUCGGAUGCCGUCGUUUACCGUUUUCGAGUUGGGUUUCUGCAGCUGGUAUUAUGCCUUCUUUUAACUUAGGUUGUACCUGUUUUCGCGUUAGCUAGGAAUUUUGGUAGUAGCUUAUUGUUAUGGAAGCCAUUUGAUUUUUGAUGUUAGCAUUUUUACGCGUUGCCGUUUAUGCAGUCAUGGCUUGUGCAUUUUUGGAAGCAGCUCAUUUUGGAGGCUCGGCUUUUUCGUCAUGCUGUUUGGGUUUCGGAUAGCAGCUGGUGUGAAGUUGUUUUUGGCUUGUGCUUCGUGUUGUAGUUCUGCGUUGCUGCUGUGACUAAUUUCUCAAACUGCUGCCCCAUUCUUGAAAACUUUUUUCCACAAUGCCCCAAUCUGAAAAAAAAUUCUCAAACUGCCCCACUUUUCUUUUGGGACUCGUCCAUUGAUUGGACGAGAGGAUGAAGGUUUUUGUACGCUGACUAGGCUCGGCCAUUGGUUGGCCGAGCUAGUAAAGGGAGUUUUUUUUUUUUUUAACUAUUAUAUAAUUAAAUAAUUUUAUUAAAAUUAUUAUUAAAUACUUUUCUAAUUAAUUCUAUAUUUAAAUAAUAAAAAUGAUUUUUUUUUUAAAAAUACUAAUAAUAUUUUUUUUAAAUACUAAUAAUAGUUUUCUAAUAUUGUUUUUUUAAAAUAUUAAUAAUAAAAAUGAUUAUUUUUUAUAAUAUUAAUAAUAAAAAUAAUUAUUUUUUAAAAAUAUUAAUAGAAAUGAAUUUUUUUAAAAUAUUAAUAAUAAAAAUAAUAUGUUCCCCUCCAAAAUUUCAAUACUUUUUGGAAUGAUAUGUUUCCCUCCAAAAAAAUUCGAAUGAUAUGUUUCCCUCCAAAGUUUCAAUGACCGAGCAAUUGCUUUGUGUUUGUACUGUUUCGGCCAAUGAUUGGCCGAGUAUUCAAAUAUUAAUUUUGUAUAAAUAGCAGGACUUGUAAAAAAUUAACUCAGAGCACAAAAUCCUUUAUUUUGGUAAAAAUGUCUGUUUGGGGUUUUGUAUUUUAUGGAUAUGGUGAAAAAAUCAGUGUUUGUCUCGAUCCGCAAUAGAAUUUCAGAACACUGAUUUCAGCCAUCCACACUGGCUUCCGACAGUUGGGCGGGCGUCGUAUGAAGGUGAGGAAAGUAGAGUAUCGUUGUCCAUACAUAACGUUGACUAAUGCAAGCCCUGAUGGUACGUACAUGUAUUACCUGGAUCGUAUAGAAAAUGAUAGAAGAUGUUCAGUGUAUGUUUUCGGCACAUAGUGGUGAAGUUAAUAGAGGAGUUGAAGGUCCACUUGUGUUGGUUGUUGUUGUUGAUUAGUUUUUUAAUUACCAUUUGUGUUGGUUGUUGUUGUUGUUUAGUUGAUGUGGUCGUAUUUUGUAACCAGAAGCCUUUGAUUAUCAAAUGUAUUUCAUAAUUGUUUGUUCCCAAAAGACAUUAGAAAUACACCAUGGUUUAUA